GACGAACGCUGGCGGCGUGGAUUAGGCAUGCAAGUCGAACGGUAUGGACCUUUCGGGGUUCAGAGAGUGGCGAACGGGUGAGUAACACGUAGGUAAUCUACCCUCAAGACGGGGACAACCCAGGGAAACUUGGGCUAAUACCGGAUGUGUGUAGUGGCUAUUUUUCUGAUUAUCAUUAUUUACGUAAGUGAGUAAUAAUAAGAAGGGAAAGUGGUUAUUACAUAAAAGGUGGCGUAAGCUGCCGCUUGGGGAUGAGCCUGCGUCCUAUUAGUUAGUUGGUGAGGUAACGGCUUACCAAGGCGAUGAUAGGUAGGCGGCCUUAACGGGUGGUCGCCCACACUGGGAUUGAGAUACGGCCCAGACUCCUACGGGAGGCAGCAGUCGAGAAUAGUCUACAAUGGACGGAAGUCUGAUAGUGCGACGCCGCGUGAACGAAGAAUCCCUUCGGGGUGUAAAGUUCUUUUAUACGUGAGCAGUGUCCUUUAUAUUAAUAGUAUAAGGGGAGAGAUAUUAGCGUAUGAAUAAGCAACGGCUAA
RNAcentral lists this ribosomal RNA (536 nucleotides) under uncultured bacterium. RNAcentral's name for it is "bacterial SSU rRNA". It matches the Rfam family "Bacterial small subunit ribosomal RNA", at positions 28 to 500 of the family's 1533-position model. The record is from RNAcentral.